CCUACGGGAGGCAGCAGUAGGGAAUAUUGCUCAAUGGGGGAAACCCUGACGCAGCAACGCCGCGUGGAGGAUGAAGGUUUUCGGAUUGUAAACUUCUUUUGUUAGAGAAGAUCAUGACGGUAUCUAACGAAUAAGCACCGGCUAACUACGUGCCAGCAGCCGCGGUAAUAAGGCGGGUGCAAGCGUUACUCGGAAGCACUGGGCGUAAAGAGCGCGUAGGCGGGAUAGCAAGUCAGAUGUGAAAUCCUAUGGCUUAACCAUAGAACUGCAUGUGAAACUGUUAUUCUAGAGUAUGGGAGAGGUAGGUGGAAUUCGUGGUGUAGGGGUAAAAUCCGUAGAUAUCAAGAGGAAUACGCAUUGCGAAGGCGACCUGCUAGAACAUAACUGACGCUGAUGCGCGAAAGCGUGGGGAGCAAACAGGAGUAGAUACCCUUGUAGUC
RNAcentral lists this ribosomal RNA (440 nucleotides) under uncultured bacterium. RNAcentral describes it as "partial 16S ribosomal RNA". It matches the Rfam family "Bacterial small subunit ribosomal RNA", at positions 338 to 795 of the family's 1533-position model. The record is from RNAcentral.